CCUACGGGCGGCAGCAGUGAGGAAUAUUGGUCAAUGGGCGGGAGCCUGAACCAGCCAAGCCGCGUGAAGGAAGAAGGCGCCAAGCGUCGUAAACUUCUUUUGUCAGGGAACAAAGUGAGCCACGUGUGCCGUUUUGAGUGUACCUGAAGAAAAAGCAUCGGCUAACUCCGUGCCAGCAGCCGCGGUAAUACGGAGGAUGCGAGCGUUAUCCGGAUUUAUUGGGUUUAAAGGGUGCGUAGGCGGUCCGUAAAGUCAGCGGUAAAAGCCCGGGGCUCAACCUCAGAUAGCCGUUGAAACUGGCAGACUAGAGACGGCGUGAGGUACGCGGAAUGCGCGGUGUAGCGGUGAAAUGCAUAGAUAUCGCGAAGAACUCCGAUUGCGAAGGCAGCUUAC
RNAcentral lists this ribosomal RNA (393 nucleotides) under uncultured bacterium. Its description in RNAcentral is "partial 16S ribosomal RNA". It matches the Rfam family "Bacterial small subunit ribosomal RNA", at positions 338 to 729 of the family's 1533-position model. The record is from RNAcentral.